RNAcentral lists this ribosomal RNA (490 nucleotides) under uncultured bacterium. RNAcentral's name for it is "partial 16S ribosomal RNA". It matches the Rfam family "Bacterial small subunit ribosomal RNA", at positions 28 to 507 of the family's 1533-position model. The record is from RNAcentral.
GAUGAACGCUAGCUACAGGCUUAACACAUGCAAGUCGAGGGGCAGCAUGGUCUUAGCUUGCUAAGGCCGAUGGCGACCGGCGCACGGGUGAGUAACACGUAUCCAACCUACCGUCUACUCUUGGACAGCCUUCUGAAAGGAAGAUUAAUACAAGAUGGCAUCAUGAGUCCGCAUGUUCACAUGAUUAAAGGUAUUCCGGUAGACGAUGGGGAUGCGUUCCAUUAGAUAGUAGGCGGGGUAACGGCCCACCUAGUCUUCGAUGGAUAGGGGUUCUGAGAGGAAGGUCCCCCACAUUGGAACUGAGACACGGGCCAAACUCCUACGGGAGGCAGCAGUGAGGAAUAUUGGUCAAUGGGCGUAGGCCUGAACCAGCCAAGUAGCGUGAAGGAUGACUGCCCUAUGGGUUGUAAACUUCUUUUAUAAAGGAAUAAAGUCGGGUAUGUAUACCCGUUUGCAUGUACUUUAUGAAUAAGGAUCGGCUAACUCCGUG